UGGCGGCCUUAGCGCGGUGGUCCCACCUGACCCCAUGCCGAACUCAGAAGUGAAACGCCGUAGCGCCGAUGGUAGUGUGGGGUCUCCCCAUG
This 92-nucleotide ribosomal RNA is filed under the name Escherichia coli KTE194. The record is from RNAcentral. Lineage: Bacteria; Pseudomonadati; Pseudomonadota; Gammaproteobacteria; Enterobacterales; Enterobacteriaceae.